RNAcentral lists this ribosomal RNA (891 nucleotides) under Ralstonia syzygii subsp. indonesiensis. Its description in RNAcentral is "bacterial SSU rRNA". It matches the Rfam family "Bacterial small subunit ribosomal RNA", at positions 1 to 880 of the family's 1533-position model. The record is from RNAcentral. Lineage: Bacteria; Pseudomonadati; Pseudomonadota; Betaproteobacteria; Burkholderiales; Burkholderiaceae.
UAAAAAAAAAAAGGGGGCGGGCUGGAUAGAAUGUGGGGGGGCAGGCAUUCCCUACCUCAAUGCAGAUCGUACAGCCAAGAUCGAGUGUGUUAGUGUGGUGGCGAGUGCGACCGGGGGAGUAAUACAUCGGAACGUGCCGAUGUAGUGGGGGAUACCUAGGCGAAAGAUGAGUUAAAUCCCGCAUACGCUCUGAGGGAGAAAGAGGGGGACUUCAAGCCUUCACGCUAUAGGAGCGCCCGAUGUCUGAUUAGUUAGUUGGUGGGGUAAAGGCCCACCAAGGCGACGAUCAGUAGCUGUUCUGAGAGGACGAUCACCCACACUGGGAUUGAGACACGUCCCAGACUCUUGGGGGAGGCAGCAGUGGGGAAUUUUGGACAAUGGGGGAAUCCCUGAUCCAGCAAUCCCGCGUGUGUGAAGAAGCCUUUGGGGUUGUAAAUCACUUUUGUCCGGAAAGAAAUCGUGUUUGUUAAUACUUGGUGCGGAUGGCGGUCUCGCAAGAAUAACCCCGGGUUAAUUACGUCCCACCACCCGGGGUAAUACGUGGGGUCCAAGCGUUAUUGGGAUUUUCUGGGCGUAAAGCGUGCGCGGGGGUUUUUGAAAGACAGAUGUAAAAUCCCGGGGCUUACCCGGGGAAUCCCAUUGGUGACUGCAAGGUUAGAGUAUGUCAGAGGGGGGUAGAUUUCCGCGUGUAGCAGUAAAAUGGGUAGAGAUGGGGAGGAAUCCCGAGGGGGAAGGCAGCCCCCGGGGAUAACACUGACGUUCAUGCACGAAAGCGUGGGGAGCAAACAGGAUUAGAUCCCCUGGUAGUCCACGCCUUAAACGAUGUCAACUAGUUGUUGGGGAUUCAUUCCUUAGUAACGUAGCUAACGCGUGAAGUGACCGCAUGGGUAG